This 84-nucleotide transfer RNA is filed under the name Acidimicrobiia bacterium. Its description in RNAcentral is "tRNA-Leu". It matches the Rfam family "tRNA". From Rfam's summary of the family: Transfer RNA (tRNA) molecules are approximately 80 nucleotides in length. Their secondary structure includes four short double-helical elements and three loops (D, anti-codon, and T loops). Lineage: Bacteria; Bacillati; Actinomycetota; Acidimicrobiia. The record is from RNAcentral.
GCCCGGGUGGCGUAACCGGUAGCCGCGGAGGUCUUAAACACCUCUGCCCGAAAGGGCGUGUGGGUUCGAAUCCCACCCCGGGCA